GCCGAUGAUACUGUUGUGACACGGCGCAAACAACCAGGAACAAUCAUUACUUGCAGGCUGUGGUUCAUACAAAGCCAAAGACCCGUU
Molecule: long non-coding RNA, 87 nt
Organism: Salarias fasciatus (jewelled blenny)
Lineage: Eukaryota; Metazoa; Chordata; Actinopteri; Blenniiformes; Blenniidae
Exons: 3
Source: RefSeq, a predicted model, not a curated record